This 335-nucleotide long non-coding RNA is filed under the name Phoenix dactylifera (date palm). RNAcentral describes it as "long non-coding RNA (PDAC_LNC001136)". The record is from RNAcentral. Lineage: Eukaryota; Viridiplantae; Streptophyta; Magnoliopsida; Arecales; Arecaceae.
CCUACAUGAUAUAGAUACUUUGUACAUAUAUGUAUGAUAUGCUAAUGAUCAAAAUAAGUAAGAAGCAUAAAUAGUUUUAUGAUGGUUUCUAUAUUAAAUCAUAUUUUGAUUGUGUAUGUUUGUUAUUGAUAGUAUGAUGGUUGUAUAUAUGAGCAUGACUUAUACUUGUAUAAUCAGAUUAAUGGAUGUGGUUCUCUGGACUAACCAUGUUAUAUUAAUUACCCCGUCACGGACGAAAAACAUGAUUGUUGUUAUUUUAAAGCCGAAAAUAAAAAGAAAUUAAUGUGUAGAUGUGAACUUGAUUGAAUAAAUAAGGACUUUGGGCUAAUCUUGUU